ACGUAGGGUGCGAGCGUUAAUCGGAAUUACUGGGCGUAAAGCGUGCGCAGGCGGUUCGCCAAGUCAGGUGUGAAAUCCCCGGGCUUAACCUGGGAAUUGCGCUUGUUACUGGCAGGCUUGAGUGUGGCAGAGGGGGGUGGAAUUCCACGUGUGGCAGUGAAAUGCGUAGAGAUGUGGAGGAACACCGAUGGCGAAGGCAGCUCCCUGGGCUAACACUGACGCUCAUGCACGAAAGCGUGGGAAGCAAACAGGA
Molecule: ribosomal RNA, 253 nt
Filed under: uncultured prokaryote
Description: partial 16S ribosomal RNA
Rfam family: Bacterial small subunit ribosomal RNA
Source: RNAcentral